GAAAAGAGAGCUUGUUAUAUUGCAUCGUUUAAGGCUCAAGCGGAACCACGGGGAAUACAAGCUGACCUAGUGCUGAAGUCUCACGCUCUUUUGCUCAUUUGUUCAACAGGUGUUUAUUGAGUGUCUACUACGUACCCGGCAGGGAGCUGGAUUCUUGGGACGAAUGGAACAAGAUGCCGCUUCCCUUGGGCAGUAGAGUCCCUGGCAGCUAUGGUGGAACAGCUGCAGCAGCCUUUGGCUUCGAGGACUGUAUCCAGCAGCUGAGCCCUUGCAUUCAUCAUUCAACAGAGGAUUACCGAGUGCCCACUACAUGCCAGGGUGAAGAGAGACCAGCAUGCUGGCAAGCUCUGAAGAAGGGAGGAAAAGACCCAUGUGCUGGGGUACAGAUGAUUUUCUCUCCCGACCAGUGCCUGCUAAUGGGCAGAAGCAGACCUGAGCUCUGGGUUGCAAAGGAAUCUGAGUUCACGCACCACAGAGGGAGGACCCACAGGACCAUGGGCCUUGCCCUCAUUGAUAUCCUUUCAUGGAGGAGGGAGCUCCCCUGAAUGCCAGAAGAUGCAAGAGACCUGUGGUCACCCCCUAACCCACCCAGAUCCUUCCAUCUCUCACUUUAGAUUCUUUACAAGGAGAAUGGGUCUAAGCUUUUUCUGAACACACCUCUGUCCCCAGCUCUGAAGACUGGCCCCAGGAACCUGUGGGCAGAGUCGGGGGGCCCUGCCCGCCUUCUGACCUACAUCUGCCUCGAACCCACCCAGGGCUGGCAGCUUUCCCAGCAGCUUCCCUGCUCCCCAGGGCAGAGGGCGGCUGUUAGCCAGAUGUCUUGCUGAGGGGGAUGGGUACAACCCAAAGCAUAGGGUUUGGGGCAUUCCACCAAGUGUGGAUUUAGCCGUGGCCAAGAACAACAUUUGACCCAGCACAGGGCACCAAGAACUUGACUUCCCCAUGCCCCGCCUGCCCGUCUGCCUCUUCUCCUCCUCCCCUCGACUCCUGCCUCCCUGCCUGCUGUCUCCUGCUCUACUCUGUCUCGUGUCAAGGAAAAUUCCUACAGGAGCCAGGGAGAUGGGCAGACACCAGCCCGGCCACAGCCGUCCCGACGGCCGUCCUGGACAGGAUGGGGGCCUGGGGAGGGGCCUGCAGUCUGUGCCAGCCCCGUCUGAAGCUGGAGAACGGCUUAGAUCCAGGGGGCCUCAGAGGCGAGAUAGCAGUGCCCUGGUGUACAGUGAGGACUGUGGGGGUCCCCGUGCCCCUGCUGGAGACCAUCCCCCUUUGAACCACAUUCAGAUGCCAAGCCCAGCUCUGGAAAUCAAGUGUAGGCAAGAACAGGCAGCUGGAGGGGUGCUGAUUUGCCAAGAGCCACUCAUAACACCCCAGCACAAGGGUCACACAGCCGUGACCUUGACAAGGACCCAGAGAUAAAGAUCCUUCCCACAUGGCUCCAAAGCCCCUCCCUUCCUGCUCACGCCGCAUGCCUCUCCCGGAGAACUAGAGGCUGCAGUGGCGGCAGUUGGAGCAUCUCACUGCGGGGCUCGGGAAGGAGGAAAGGAGUGAGCAUGUCCUGCUCCUGCACGUCCCUGCUUAAGCUCAGGACUGGCCCUUCCAGGCCAAGGACCCCAGCAUAGACCCCAGAACAGGGCCCCAAGGAUCCCUGGCUCAUGAGAGCGGCUUGCUGGGCUGCCCCAACAGAGCCUGAAAGAAACACAUUGUUGAGCUGAGCUGAGCUGACAUCGCUGUUUCUUCCAGACUGCUCUCUAAAGUGGGCAGGUGAGUUCUUGCCCUGUAUGAAGGGGUCAGGGAGAUGGCAGGGUCCUGUCCAGAGAGCUGCCUUGUGCCGUUUGACACCAGCAGGCCAAUUUCAGCAGGUUAACAGGGGAAAUGGCAACCUGUGGCCCACGAGGGAGUGCCCCCACUUGAACAUCUCUAGAGGCUACUGAUUGUCAGGCAGAGGUGGGAUCGUCCAGGGGAUGGUGUAACCUGCUCCUUCUUCCUGCCCUUCCUGGUGUCUGUCACCCCCACCCCUUCCCUAAGGUUCUGGAGCCUCAGCCACAGCCCCCCACCCCAGGAACAGAGACUCCUGAGGACAAGACACAAAUGGGAAGCUCCAGUCCCUGUGCACAACUGUAUCUACGAAAUUCUUUUCAUCUUUGUUUUGAUGAGCAAAGUUCAAU
This is a long non-coding RNA of Gorilla gorilla gorilla (western lowland gorilla), 2165 nucleotides long. RefSeq lists it as uncharacterized. The record is from RefSeq and is a predicted model, not a curated record. Lineage: Eukaryota; Metazoa; Chordata; Mammalia; Primates; Hominidae. The transcript has 3 exons.